AUGAGUUUGAUCAUGGCUCAGAUUGAAUGAGCCGCGGCAGGCCUAACACAUGCAAGUCGAGCGGUAGCACAAGAGAGCUUGCUCUCUGGGUGACGAGCGGCGGACGGGUGAGUAAUGUCUGGGAAACUGCCUGAUGGCGGGGGAUAACUAGUGGAAACGGUAGCUAAUACCGCAUAACGUCGCAAGACCAAAGUGGGGGACCUUCGGGCCUCACGCCAUCAGAUGUGCCCAGGUGGGAUUAGCUGGUAGGUGGGGUAACGGCUCACCUAGGCGACGAUCCCUAGCUGGUCUGAGAGGAUGACCAGCCACACUGGAACUGAGACACGGUCCAGACUCCUACGGGAGGCAGCAGUGGGGAAUAUUGCACAAUGGGCGCAAGCCUGAUGCAGCCAUGCCGCGUGUGUGAAGAAGGCCUUCGGGUUGUAAAGCACUUUCAGCGAGGAGGAAGGGUAAUGUGUUAAUAAGACAUUGCAUUGACGUUACUCGCAGAAGAAGCACCGGCUAACUCCGUGCCAGCAGCCGCGGUAAUACGGAGGGUGCAAGCGUUAAUCGGAAUUACUGGGCGUAAAGCGCACGCAGGCGGUUUGUUAAGUCAGAUGUGAAAUCCCCGCGCUCAACGUGGGAACGGCAUUUGAGACUGGCAAGCUAGAGUCUUGUAGAGGGGGGUAGAAUUCCAGGUGUAGCGGUGAAAUGCGUAGAGAUCUGGAGGAAUACCGGUGGCGAAGGCGGCCCCCUGGACAAAGACUGACGCUCAGGUGCGAAAGCGUGGGGAGCAAACAGGAUUAGAUACCCUGGUAGUCCACGCUGUAAACGAUGUCGAUUUGGAGGUUGCGCCCUUGAGGGGUGGCUUCCGUAGCUAACGCGUUAAAUCGACCGCCUGGGGAGUACGGCCGCAAGGUUAAAACUCAAAUGAAUUGACGGGGGCCCCCACAAGCGGUGGAGCAUGUGGUUUAAUUCGAUGCAACGCGAAGAACCUUACCUACUCUUGACUUCCAAAGAACUUUCCGGAAUUGGUAGUGGUCCUCUUGGGGACUUCGGAUAAGGUUGUGUGGU
RNAcentral lists this ribosomal RNA (1053 nucleotides) under uncultured bacterium. RNAcentral describes it as "bacterial SSU rRNA". It matches the Rfam family "Bacterial small subunit ribosomal RNA", at positions 1 to 1049 of the family's 1533-position model. The record is from RNAcentral.